GAUGAACGCUGACAGAAUGCUUAACACAUGCAAGUCUUUGGCGAAGCUGUGCUUGCACAGCCUAGCCAAGGCGGACGGGUGAGUAACGCGUAAGGAACUUGCCCUGCAGUCAGGGAUAACAGACGGAAACGACUGAUAAGACCUGGUAAAGUCAGGCGGACUCAUGUCCAGCCUGAUGAAAAGAGAUGCUGCAGGAGAGCCUUGCGUCCUAUUAGCUUGUUGGUGGGGUAACGGCCCACCAAGGCGAUGAUAGGUAGCCGGCCUGAGAGGGUGGACGGCCACAAGGGGACUGAGAUACAGCCCUUACUCCUACGGGAGGCAGCAGUGGGGAAUAUUGGACAAUGGGGGCAACCCUGAUCCAGCAAUUCUGUGUGCACGAUGAAGGUUUUCGGAUUGUAAAGUGCUUUCAGCAGGGAAGAAAAAAAUGACGGUACCUGCAGAAGAAGCGACGGCUAAAUACGUG
This 463-nucleotide ribosomal RNA is filed under the name uncultured bacterium. Its description in RNAcentral is "partial 16S ribosomal RNA". It matches the Rfam family "Bacterial small subunit ribosomal RNA", at positions 28 to 507 of the family's 1533-position model. The record is from RNAcentral.